CAGUAGCUAUUUAGUGUGAUAAUGGCGUUUGAUAGUUUAGACACAAACACCAUUGUCACACUCCACAGCUCUG
RNAcentral lists this microRNA precursor (73 nucleotides) under Pongo abelii (Sumatran orangutan). Its description in RNAcentral is "miRNA". RNAcentral also lists the same sequence under 1 other name. Lineage: Eukaryota; Metazoa; Chordata; Mammalia; Primates; Hominidae. The record is from RNAcentral.